GUAAUCUUAAUCUUGCAUAAAGAAUUGGAACUAAACUAAACCUAAAUUAAUUUUCUCAUUUGUGCAGCCGUCGCCCCCCCACCCCUCGCUUCUUCUCGUCUUCAGUUCUCUCCUGACUCUUUCUCAAAAUCUUUCGACCCUAACCUCCUCCAUCCUCCUUCUUCGCCGCCGGACCUCCUCCAUGCUUCUUCCGCUCUCAUGUUGCUCUCUGAACCUCCUCCUUUGCCAGAUCUGAUCUUGACAUUGCAAUGGUGUUGAUGUAUCAAUUGUUUGAUCCAAAUAUAUCAGGAGAUCACAUUUUUUGAAAAAUUUUUUUGUUUCGUUUGCAGCAAUGUUGAAGCGGCGAAGCCAGUCACAGGCUUGGCAUGGAUUUCAAAACUAUCGGCUGUCAGUUCUGGUUACUUGCUUGAUUUUGAUUCUCCUGUUCUUAAUUUUCAAUAAUAGCAAUAAAAUACAAGUUUCACUUGUACCCACAGUGCAGAAAUGGAAUAGUUUUGAGUCAGUGCAGCUUCGUCCAACUAUAGAGUUUAGAAAUGAUACAGAUGUGAUAUGGCAAAUACCUGAUUCAGCCAAAGCAGUUCUCUUCUUGGCUCACGGAUGCGAUGGCAGAGCUGUUAAUUUCUGGGACAGAUCUCCCAGCUGUCCCAAUUGCAUUGGUUUGCCUGAGGAAAGGCUACUUGUUCUUCAUGCUCUGGUUCGCAAAUUUGCUGUUGUUUCCAUAUCAAGCAUGGGUAAAUGCUGGACAUUUGGGGAGGAAAUGUUGAUUGUUAAGAAUAUUAUAAGAUGGUGGUUACGGAGGAAUAAACUUGAAAAGCUUCCGCUCGUUGCUCUGGGGGCCUCUUCUGGUGGUUACUUUGUUUCCGCACUUGCCACCAUUUUGAGAUUUAGCAGCAUUACAAUAAUGAUUGCUGAAGGGAAGUUUGAUCAAAUGGAUGUCACAGGGAGCUAUCCGCCAACUCUUUUUGUUCACAUGCCCAAUGAUUUAUACAGACAGCAAAAGAUAAGUGAAUUUAUCCAAGUUCUAAAGAAUAAAGGCAUUGAUGUUGCUGAGGUUGAGUGCAUUGAGUUCCCACUAUCUCCAUUUUUCUUAGCGGAUAGAAUUCCAGGAAUUAAUCAAACUGUUUCUGCUAAGUUGUUUGAACUAUUUGGGGAAAAGGGCUUUAUUGAUAAAAAGGGAUAUAUGAAAAACGAUGGGCGUGCAACACGUUGGAAAGAUGCUCUUCGUAAAACUAAGGAAAUUGUGCUGGAUAAGAAUUUGGUUCCACAUGUGCAGGAGGAACUAAAUCUUGCAUUUGCAUACCAUGAAAUGACCAGCUUGCAGUCUGACCAGAUAUUUAAAUGGUUUGAAUCUCACAUGAAGUAACUAAGACAAAAUGUCCUCCUGAGUGCAAUGAGACAGGAAGAAGGAUGAUGUUAAACUGGGCAGAGAAAUUCUCUUUUGUAUAAGCUGUUCGCCAAGUUUCUUAAUGGAAGCUAUUUGCAAAGGUUGAAUUUUCUUCAAAGCAGCACUACAAAUUAAUGGCUUUAAUGGAGGGUGGUGGUUCUUUUCUCUCCAAAUGCUAAGACAUUUAAGUUUGUAAAAUGGGAUGCAAAUGUGUGGCUACCAAAACAGAGAUGCUUAUUUAAUGCUAUUGUUGUGCAAAAUUGGCAUGAAAGUUUUAUCAAUUCUUACAGCUGAAAUGCAAAUAUGCAUCGGUUAUCCUCAAAAUCUUAGGAUUUGGCCGUUGUCAAGAGGAAACCAGGAUUCCAACUUUAGAUAAUUUUAUAUAUGAACCAGCCUAGAACUGUUUUCUCUUUUAGAUAUAAAUCAAGGGGAUGCAAUUUUCACCAGAAGCAGGGGAAAAGGAGGUGGUUUCCUGAAGUUUUGCACACCUAAUUAGCCGAGUCUUUUCUGGAAGUUGUGUUGAUAUGUAUAAAAAGAUAUGACCAAUAGAGUAUGGACUAUGGCUCCCUUGUGAUCUUUCAGAUCAGAAGUGAUGACCUGAUCUUAAAUCCGAAGAAUGGAUGGGUAAGCAUUGAAUAUAUAUGUGCAGAGCCUGUUUGCAUUUACUGAUA
This is an RNA transcript of Manihot esculenta (cassava), 2055 nucleotides long. RefSeq lists it as uncharacterized. The transcript is spliced from 3 exons. The record is from RefSeq and is a predicted model, not a curated record. NCBI's taxonomy places the organism in Eukaryota, Viridiplantae, Streptophyta, Magnoliopsida, Malpighiales, Euphorbiaceae.